This 1299-nucleotide ribosomal RNA is filed under the name metagenome. Its description in RNAcentral is "bacterial LSU rRNA". It matches the Rfam family "Bacterial large subunit ribosomal RNA", at positions 1635 to 2925 of the family's 2925-position model. The record is from RNAcentral.
UACACGACCGUACCGCAAACCGACACUGGUGCGCGAGAUGAGUAUUCUAAGGCGCUUGAGAGAACUCGGGAGAAGGAACUCGGCAAAUUGACACCGUAACUUCGGAAGAAGGUGUGCCUUUAGUAGGUGAACCAUUUACUUGGGGAGCCCAAUGAGGUUGCAAAAAUCGGUGGCUGCGACUGUUUAUUAAAAACACAGCACUCUGCAAACACGAAAGUGGACGUAUAGGGUGUGACGCCUGCCCGGUGCUGGAAGAUUAAAUGAUGGGGUGCAAGCUCUUGAUUGAAGUCCCAGUAAACGGCGGCCGUAACAAUAACGGUCCUAAGGUAGCGAAAUUCCUUGUCGGGUAAGUUCCGACCUGCACGAAUGGCGUAACGAUGGCCACACUGUCUCCUCCCGAGACUCAGCGAAGUUGAAAUGUUUGUGAUGAUGCAAUCUCCCCGCGGAAAGACGGAAAGACCCCAUGAACCUUUACUGUAGCUUUGUAUUGGACUUUGAACAGAUCUGUGUAGGAUAGGUGGGAGGCUUUGAAGUAGGGUCGCUAGAUCUUAUGGAGCCAACGUUGAAAUACCACCCUGGUGUGUUUGAGGUUCUAACCUAGGUCCAUUAUCUGGAUCGGGGACAGUGCAUGGUAGGCAGUUUGACUGGGGCGGUCUCCUCCCAAAGCGUAACGGAGGAGUUCGAAGGUACGCUAGUUACGGUCGGACAUCGUGACGAUAGUGCAAUGGCAUAAGCGUGCUUAACUGCGAGACUGACAAGUCGAGCAGAUGCGAAAGCAGGACAUAGUGAUCCGGUGGUUCUGUAUGGAAGGGCCAUCGCUCAACGGAUAAAAGGUACUCUGGGGAUAACAGGCUGAUACCGCCCAAGAGUUCAUAUCGACGGCGGUGUUUGGCACCUCGAUGUCGGCUCAUCUCAUCCUGGGGCUGUAGCCGGUCCCAAGGGUAUGGCUGUUCGCCAUUUAAAGAGGUACGUGAGCUGGGUUUAAAACGUCGUGAGACAGUUUGGUCCCUAUCUUCCGUGGGCGCUGCAGAUUUGAGGAAGCCUGCUCCUAGUACGAGAGGACCGGAGUGGACACACCUCUGGUGUAUCGGUUGUCACGCCAGUGGCAUUGCCGAGUAGCUAAGUGUGGAAGAGAUAACCGCUGAAAGCAUCUAAGCGGGAAGCUCGUUUCAAGAUGAGAUCUGCCGGGGCCUUGAGCCCCCUAAAGAGUCGUUCAAGACCAGGACGUUGAUAGGUCAGGUGUGGAAGCGCAGUAAUGCGUUAAGCUAACUGAUACUAAUUGCUCGUGCGGCUUGACCC